Mus pahari (shrew mouse) is the source of this 1231-nucleotide RNA transcript. It is a transcript of the gene named 60 kDa heat shock protein, mitochondrial pseudogene, with no coding region annotated. The transcript has 2 exons. The record is from RefSeq and is a predicted model, not a curated record. Lineage: Eukaryota; Metazoa; Chordata; Mammalia; Rodentia; Muridae.
AUGCUUUGACUACACACAGUCCUUCGCCAGAUGAGACCAGUGUCCCGGGCACUGGCUCCUCAUCUCACUCGGGCCUAUGCCAAAGAUGUAAAAUUUGGUGCGGAUGCUCGAGCCUUAAUGCUUCAAUGCUUAAUGCUGAUGCUGUAGCUGUUACAAUGGGGCCAAAGGGAAGAACUGUGAUUAUUGAACAGAGUUGGGGAAGUCCCAAAGUAACAAACGAUGGGGUCACUGUUGCAAAGUCAAUUGAUGUAAAGGAGAAAUCCAAAACUAUUGGAGCUAAACUUGUUCAGGAUGUUGCCAAUAACACAAAGAGGCUGGGGAUGGUACCAACACUGCCACCAUUCUUGCAUGAUCUAUUGCCAAGGAGGGCUUUGAGAAGAUCAGCAAAGGGGCUAACCCAGUGGAAAUCUGGAGAGGUGUGAUGUUGGCUGUCGAUGCUGUCAUUGCUGAACUUAAGAAACAAUCUAAACCUGUGACAACCCCUGAAGAAAUUGCUCAGGUUGCUACAAUUUCUGAAAAUGGAGACAAAGACAUUGGGAACAUCAUUUCUGAUGCAAUGAAAAAGGUUGGAAGAAAGGGUGUCAUCACAGUGAAAGAUGGAAAAACCCUGAAUGAUGAGCUAGAAAUUAUUGAANGCAUGAAGUUUGAUAGAGGAUAUAUUUCCCCAUAUUUUAUUAACACAUCAAAAGGUCAAAAGUGUGAAUUCCAAGAUGCCUAUGUCUUGUUGAGUGAAAAGAAAAUUUCCAGUGUUCAGUCCAUUGUACCUGCUCUUGAAAUUGCUAAUGCUCAUUGGAAGCCCUUGCUCAUAAUCGCCGAAGAUGUUGACGGAGAAGCUCUAAGCACGCUGGUUUUGAACAGGCUAAAAGUUGGUCUUCAGGUUGUAGCUGUCAAAGCUCCAGGAUUUGGGGACAAUAGGAAGAACCAGCUUAAAGAUAUGGCUAUUGCUACUGGUGGUGAGGUGUUUGGAGAAGAGGGGUUGAAUCUAAAUCUUGAAGAUGUUCAAGCUCAUGACUUNGGAAAAGUUGGGGAGGUCAUUGUCACCAAAGAUGAUGCCAUGCUUUUGAAAGGAAAAGGUGACAAAGAAUACCAUUCUUCCGAAGGCCGGAAAUCACAAACUCCAGGUGGAAAACUGGAAACAGCAGCCACUGCACUGGCAGCCAACUUGAAGAAGAUUGCAUCACAGGGGACUGCAGACAAGAAGUCGGCUGUAGGCAAGGAAGAAGGAGCCUAA